AUUGAACGCUGGCGGCAUGCCUUACACAUGCAAGUCGAACGGUAACAGGUCUUCUUAUUCUGACGCUUGACUCACGGGUGCGUAAUACAUCCGAACGUGCCCUAUCGUGGGCUUUAACGAAGCUAAAGCUUUGCUAAUACCACAUCCGAUCUACGGAUCAAAUCCUUGGACCGCCUUGCCUUGCUCGAACGGCUCGGCCUAUGUCCGAUUAGUUAGUUGUUGGGAUAAAAGCUUACCAAGCCGACGAUCUGUAGCUGUUCUGAGAGGACGACCAGCCACACUGGGACGGAGACACGGACCAGAGGCCUGAGGGAGGCAGCAGUGGGGAAUUUUGGACAAUGGGCGAAAGUAUGAUCCAGUCAUGGCGCGUGGAGGAUGAAGGCCUUGGGGUUGUAAACUGCUUUUGUACGGAACGAAAAGACUCUGGUUAAUACGUGGGGUGCAUGACGGUAACGUAAGAAUAAGCACCGGCUAACUACGUG
Molecule: ribosomal RNA, 482 nt
Filed under: uncultured bacterium
Lineage: Bacteria
Description: partial 16S ribosomal RNA
Rfam family: Bacterial small subunit ribosomal RNA
Source: RNAcentral